Molecule: small nucleolar RNA, 107 nt
Filed under: Aotus nancymaae (Ma's night monkey)
Lineage: Eukaryota; Metazoa; Chordata; Mammalia; Primates; Aotidae
Description: Small nucleolar RNA SNORA3/SNORA45 family (ENSANAG00000008089.1)
Source: RNAcentral
GGGGAGGCCCUGUAAAUGGUGUGCUGGAGUCCUCCCAGAACAACUGCUCACCUUAGUCCCUGGCUGUGGGCCUCAUGGCACAGUCACCCACCAGGGUAGUGAGUUUC